GGAUCCUCUGAGUCAGAACUACUGAAGCUGCAAAAGAUGAAAUUGAGGGCAAUGGACAUCAAGGACACCCUAGACAGACUUGAAGAUUCCAUAGGAUACGUGCAAGAUAAUAUUUCCUUGGUAGCAGCCAAGCUUGCAAUCCAAUCUUUGGAUUCCCGGUUAUGAACGAAUUCCUGAACAGGUUUCUAUCUCUGGAACAUGAAAUUUGAAUGAAAUGCUGAACUAGGUUCAUGUUGUUAGCGCAUUAAAUUUGGUUGAAUGAAGAGAUGGUGUAUAGAAAUCAG
Molecule: unclassified non-coding RNA, 284 nt
Filed under: Hevea brasiliensis (rubber tree)
Lineage: Eukaryota; Viridiplantae; Streptophyta; Magnoliopsida; Malpighiales; Euphorbiaceae
Source: RNAcentral